ACUCUAAGCGGUGGAUCACUCGGCUCAUGGGUCGAUGAAGAACGCAGCAAACUGUGCGUCAUCGUGUGAACUGCAGGACACAUGAACAUCGACAUUUUGAACGCAUAUCGCAGUCCAUGCUGUUAUGUACUUUAAUUAAUUUUAAAGUGCUGCUUGGACUACAUAUGGUUGAGGGUUGUAAGACUAUGCAAAAUAAGUUGUUCAUAAAUUUCAUUUCAUGAUUUUUAUAAGCACAUGGUAUAUUAUUGGGUAUAAUAAUUAUUAAUUGUUAUAUUCAUAAUAUUAAAAAUUAUAUGAAAAACAUUAUUCUCACAUUGUUGUAAAUAUUUGAAUGUGAAAACGAAGAGAAAUAUUUUCUUUUUUUUAAAUCAAAUAAUACUGAGAAAUGUCUAGCAUAAAAAAUGUGAAAAUAUUUUUCAUCUAGAAUUGUCUCUUAUUAAUGAUGCAAAAAAUCGAAAAAUGUUGCUAAUGUUAUUAUUCUUCGUUUGGUUUGUUAAAAAUAUAACAAAUUUAAAUAUAUAAUGUUUUCUCUAUAUAAAAGAAUUAAUGCUAAUAAAUGUUUUAUACAACCUCAACUCAUAUGGGACUACCCCCUGAAUUUAAGCAUAUUAAUUAGGGGAGGAAAAGAAACUAACAAGGAUUUUCUUAGUAGCGGCGAGCGAAAAGAAAUCAGUUCAGCACUAAGUCACUUUGUCUAUAUGGCAAAUGUGAGAUGCAGUGUAUGGAGCGUCAAUAUUCUAGUAUGAGAAAUUAACGAUUUAAGUCCUUCUUAAAUGAGGCCAUUUACCCAUAGAGGGUGCCAGGCCCGUAUAACGUUAAUGAUUACUAGAUGAUGUUUCCAAAGAGUCGUGUUGCUUGAUAGUGCAGCACUAAGUGGGUGGUAAACUCCAUCUAAAACUAAAUAUAACCAUGAGACCGAUAGUAAACAAGUACCGUGAGGGAAAGUUGAAAAGAACUCUGAAUAGAGAGUUAAACAGUACGUGAAACUGCUUAGAGGUUAAGCCCGAUGAACCUGAAUAUCCGUUAUGGAAAAUUCAUCAUUAGACUUGUAGUAUUUAAACAAUAUUAUGAUAAUAGUGUGCAUUUUUUCCAUAUAAGGACAUUGUAAUCUAUUAACAUAACUAAAUUUAUCAUAAAAUAUGGCUUAUAGUUUAUUCAAAUUAUUAUGCUUGCAUUUUAACAUAGAAUAAAUGUCAUUAAUUUGAUAAAGUGCUGAUAGAUUUAUAUGACUACAGUGCGUUAAUUUUUCGGAAUUAUAUAAUGGCAUAAUUAUCAUUGAUUUUUGUGUUUAUUAUAUGCACUUGUACGAUUAACAAUGCGAAAGAUUCAGGAUACCUUCGGGACCCGUCUUGAAACACGGACCAAGGAGUCUAACAUAUGUGCAAGUUAUUGGGAUAUAAACCUAAUAGCGUAAUUAACUUGACUAAUAAUGGGAUUAGUUUUUUAACUAUUUAUAGCUAAUUAACACAAUCCCGGGGCGUUCUAUAUAGUUAUGUAUAAUAAUAUUUAUAUUAUUUAUGCCUCUAACUGGAACGUACCUUGAGCAGAUAUGCUGUGACCCGAAAGAUGGUGAACUAUACUUGAUCAGGUUGAAGUCAGGGGAAACCCUGAUGGAAGACCGAAACAGUUCUGACGUGCAAAUCGAUUGUCAGAAUUGAGUAUAGGGGCGAAAGACCAAUCGAACCAUCUAGUAGCUGGUUCCUUCCGAAGUUUCCCUCAGGAUAGCUGGUGCAUUUUAAUGUUAUAUAAAAUAAUCUUAUCUGGUAAAGCGAAUGAUUAGAGGCCUUAGGGUCGAAACGAUCUUAACCUAUUCUCAAACUUUAAAUGGGUAAGAACCUUAACUUUCUUGAUAUGAAGUUUAAGGUUAUGAUAUAAUGUGCCCAGUGGGCCACUUUUGGUAAGCAGAACUGGCGCUGUGGGAUGAACCAAACGUAAUGUUACGGUGCCCAAAUUAACAACUCAUGCAGAUACCAUGAAAGGCGUUGGUUGCUUAAAACAGCAGGACGGUGAUCAUGGAAGUCGAAAUCCGCUAAGGAGUGUGUAACAACUCACCUGCCGAAGCAACUAGCCCUUAAAAUGGAUGGCGCUUAAGUUGUAUACCUAUACAUUACCGCUAAAGUAGAUGAUUUAUAUUACUUGUAAUAUAAAUUUUGAAACUUUAGUGAGUAGGAAGGUACAAUGGUAUGCGUAGAAGUGUUUGGCGUAAGCCUGCAUGGAGCUGCCAUUGGUACAGAUCUUGGUGGUAGUAGCAAAUAAUCGAAUGAGACCUUGGAGGACUGAAGUGGAGAAGGGUUUCGUGUGAACAGUGGUUGAUCACGAGUUAGUCGGUCCUAAGUUCAAGGCGAAAGCCGAAAAUUUUCAAGUAAUAAAAUGACUAUAUAUUACAAAAAUGCCAAUUAAUAUACUUGAAUAAUUUUGAACGAAAGGGAAUACGGUUCCAAUUCCGUAACCUGUUGAGUAUCCGUUUGUUAUUAAAUAUGGGCCUCGUGCUCAUCCUGGCAACAGGAACGACCAUAAAGAAGCCGUCGAGAGAUAUCGGAAGAGUUUUCUUUUCUGUUUUAUAGCCGUACUACCAUGGAAGUCUUUCGCAGAGAGAUAUGGUAGAUGGGCUAGAAGAGCAUGACAUAUACUGUUGUGUCGAUAUUUUCUCCUCGGACCUUGAAAAUUUAUGGUGGGGAUACGCAAACUUCUCAACAGGCCGUACCAAUAUCCGCAGCUGGUCUCCAAGGUGAAGAGUCUCUAGUCGAUAGAAUAAUGUAGGUAAGGGAAGUCGGCAAAUUAGAUCCGUAACUUCGGGAUAAGGAUUGGCUCUGAAGAUUGAGAUAGUCGGGCUUGAUUGGGAAACAAUAACAUGGUUUAUGUGCUCGUUCUGGGUAAAUAGAGUUUCUAUCAUUUAUGUUAGUUGCUUGUUCCCCGGAUAGUUUAGUUACGUAGCCAAUUGUGGAACUUUCUUGCUAAAAUUUUUAAGAAUACUAGUUGGGUCAAACCAAUUAGUUCUUAUUAAUUAUAACGAUUAUCAAUUAACAAUCAAUUCAGAACUGGCACGGACUUGGGGAAUCCGACUGUCUAAUUAAAACAAAGCAUUGUGAUGGCCCUAGCGGGUGUUGACACAAUGUGAUUUCUGCCCAGUGCUCUGAAUGUCAAAGUGAAGAAAUUCAAGUAAGCGCGGGUCAACGGCGGGAGUAACUAUGACUCUCUUAAGGUAGCCAAAUGCCUCGUCAUCUAAUUAGUGACGCGCAUGAAUGAAAAGCUGUAAAUCUUGCUACAUUGCGACCCUGGAUGUCAGCAAGGCGUUUGACUCACUAUCUCACGCAGCUAUAAUUAACACGUUGACAGCAUAUGGCCUACCGAAGGAUUUUAUCGACUAUGUACAGAAGACGUACGAGGUUGGUGGCACAACGCUCAAUGGGGACGGAUGGAGUUCGGAGGUUAUCAAACCUGCCCGUGGAGUGAGGCAGGGAGAUCCUCUCUCUCCGAUACUAUUUAACCUGGUAAUGGACAGGUUACUUAGGUGCUUACCCAAAGAGAUUGGUGUCAAGGUCGGAAAUGCCAUGACAAACGCGGCAGCAUUCGCAGACGAUAUAGUGCUAUUUGCGGAAACUCCGAUGGGCCUUCAAAAUUGUUGGACAAGACCGUGGAAUUCUUGGGAACGGUCGGACUCACCCUGAAUGCUGAUAAGUGUUUCACUAUCGGUAUAAAGGGGCAGCCUAAGCAGAAGUGUACUGUUGUGACGCAACACAGCUUUCGCAUAGGU
RNAcentral lists this ribosomal RNA (3754 nucleotides) under Drosophila serrata. RNAcentral describes it as "eukaryotic LSU rRNA". The stretch from base 567 to 3754 matches the Rfam family "Eukaryotic large subunit ribosomal RNA". The record is from RNAcentral. Lineage: Eukaryota; Metazoa; Arthropoda; Insecta; Diptera; Drosophilidae.